GUGGCAGCCAUUGUAAAUAAGUCU
RNAcentral lists this non-coding RNA (24 nucleotides) under Arabidopsis thaliana (thale cress). The record is from RNAcentral. Lineage: Eukaryota; Viridiplantae; Streptophyta; Magnoliopsida; Brassicales; Brassicaceae.